This is an RNA transcript of Zeugodacus cucurbitae (melon fly), 1623 nucleotides long. It is a transcript of the gene named NADH dehydrogenase [ubiquinone] 1 alpha subcomplex subunit 10, mitochondrial, with no coding region annotated. Lineage: Eukaryota; Metazoa; Arthropoda; Insecta; Diptera; Tephritidae. The transcript has 5 exons. The record is from RefSeq and is a predicted model, not a curated record.
GCACUCUGUAAUCAGCCAGUGCUGCCAAUCAAAUGUUUCAGUGACAGUUCAGUUGACAGCUGUGCUCGUAUGGCCCUCCAAUUUUUAGAGUAGAAAAUAAAUAGCAGAAUCGCAUUAAACAGUUUUAAGAAUGGCCGCUGUUUUCCGUGUGGGCAUUGUGCGCCUAUGUGGCCGUAAUGCAAGUCCAGUAUUGCUGAAUACGCAGGCAACUUCUCCAAUGGCUUUAACGCAAAAAGCUUCCAUCAUGGGUAAAUCUAUGCGAGGUGGUCCACGGGUACCCAAAGAAUCCCCAUAUCCCUACAAAGAUAAGCGAUAUACUGUUCUUAACUCGUUUUUCGACAAAACAUCAAAACGCAUGGAUGAGAACUCUAAAGUCAUAUGUGUUGAAGGACCGAUCGGUGCGGGCAAAAGUAAAUUUGCGAAAGAAUUGGCAGAUGAACUGGAAAUGUGUUAUUUUCCUGAAGUCAACAUGGAUUUGCUUUACAUCAAUUCCUAUGGCUAUGAUAUGCGCAAGUUGGACCCCCAAUUGCCUGAACUGUGCCGUUCAUAUGAUGUGUCCAACUUUUGCCGAGAACCCAAUCAUCCUUUGGCUGCCCAGUUCCAAAUCCGGAUGUACAUGCUGAGGUAUUCACAAUAUAUUGAUGCCUUACAACAUGUGCUUUCUACCGGUCAAGGUGUUGUUUUGGACCGCAGCUGCUAUUCGGACUUCGUGUUCCUGGAAGCAAUGCAUAAGAACGGAUACAUUUCGCGUGGUGCCCACUCUGUAUAUUAUGAAAUUCGCCAAAAUACAAUUGACGAACUUCUAAAACCGCAUUUGGUUAUCUACUUGGACUGCCCUGUUGAUGCUGUUAAGCAACGCAUUAAAGCUCGUAAUGUGGAUUAUGAAGUUAAUUCGAAGGUUUUCACUGAUGCCUACCUAAAGGAUGUUGAAACGUUUUAUAAACAACAUUUCCUUAAGGAUAUAAGUAGCCACGCUGAAAUCUUGGUGUACGAUUGGACUGCUGGUGGUGAGACCGAAGUUGUAGUUGAAGAUAUCGAACGUAUUGAUUUUGGACAGUUCGAAGUUGAUCACCACAAUAAAAAAAUGAAGGAUUGGCGUUUCCCGCUCGAAGCUGAAUGGUGCGAGGCCCGUAUCAAGUACUGUAACGAAAAAAGCACUUUGUUGAACUAUUUCAAUGUGCCACGUUACGACGUACCUGAACUGGUGCGCGACGCUGACAGCAGUAAAGUUUGGCGUGAUGUUUGGUACAACGCACCUGGCAUGAAAUAUCGCGCAGGUUACAAUGAGGAUAUGGGAGAUACCGGUUUGUUUACCAAAACAACAAUUGGCGUCAAUCAACCGCUGUAAGCGGUCCUCAAUUAUUUGUUAGUAAAAUAUGAAUAAACAAGAAAAUAAUAACGGAACGAAAACCUGUGUUGAAUAAAAAGAAAAUAACGGAUAGAAAAGCUGUGUUAGUAUUGAAAUGAAAUGAAGUUAGUUAAAUGAAGAAAUGAAAAGGUUUAAGAACAAGAAUAAGUUAUUCAACAUAUUUUAAAUAAUAAGUAAUUGAGCAUAUAUAACACAAAACAAAAAAAUUAAAACUUUCAUCUGCAUAUACAAAUAUAUCAUCAAUAUACCAACAA